CGGCGCUAAUUCUCGGAGGCGUUCGGGGAAAUCAAUCGAGAGAGCUCCCGCGGAGCCUGGCUGCAGGCGCCAACCGGAGCGAAAUCUAAACAACAGCCUACGCUCGUAGCCGGCCUCUUGUGGUCUUUCUUCCGGACGGUGGGUUCGACUCCCCCCGCCUCCACCA
RNAcentral lists this transfer-messenger RNA (166 nucleotides) under Desulforudis sp. Its description in RNAcentral is "partial transfer-messenger RNA". It matches the Rfam family "transfer-messenger RNA", at positions 211 to 374 of the family's 374-position model. From Rfam's summary of the family: Bacterial tmRNA, also known as 10Sa RNA or SsrA, is named for its dual tRNA and mRNA-like properties. Its role is to liberate the mRNA from a stalled ribosome. The record is from RNAcentral. Lineage: Bacteria; Bacillati; Bacillota; Clostridia; Thermoanaerobacterales; Desulforudaceae.